UCCAGUCCACAACCAUGCUUUACCUCUCAUUACUCAACCUCUGUCGACUCUCCUCCACAGUCAAAUGGCCCAAAUCCCAGCUUCGCUUCGCUUCACUUCUCCACAGUCAGUCAGUCCACUUUGGCUUCGCAAAUUGCGACUCUCCUCUACUCUGACCUCUCCCCCACUCUUGCCUCCACCUCCGGCCCCCGUUCCUCUGCGUUUAACGGUCUCUCAAGUCUCAGAUCUCGUCUCUCAUCUCAAAUCUGUCCCUCAAGUCUCAGAUCUCAUCUCUUUCAAAGUGAAUAGUGAACACCAUGAAGGUAUUGUAGACUUGUAGUCUCUGUUUCAUGGGUUCGCGAGUCAUUCAAAGUUGGAAUACUUUUCAAGAAUUAGAAGACUAUUUGAAGUGAUGGGUACUUUACCAAAAGUAACAUACACGCAGUUUGAAUCUUCGAUGACAAGAAUCACUCUAAUACUCUAUAAUCAACUGUUGAGACUUAUUUGUUUGAAUCUUUUAAAGGUUAUGCAUUUUUGAAUCAGAUAUUGGUUCAUCAAACUGGUAAACUGAUAUUUGAAAUGACUUUUUUUGUUUGGUAAAAAUUAAAUGUAAUUUCAGUUAUUAACCGAGAAAAUCGAAUAGUAAAUUCAGUUAUUCAGUUUUCGGUAAUUCUGUUAUUAUGUAAUUCAGUUUGUUUUUCGGAUAACAAAAUUAUAUAAAUUUCGG
Molecule: long non-coding RNA, 706 nt
Filed under: Panax ginseng (ginseng)
Lineage: Eukaryota; Viridiplantae; Streptophyta; Magnoliopsida; Apiales; Araliaceae
Description: long non-coding RNA (PGIN_LNC008155)
Source: RNAcentral